RNAcentral lists this long non-coding RNA (211 nucleotides) under Manihot esculenta (cassava). RNAcentral describes it as "long non-coding RNA (MESC_LNC000207)". Lineage: Eukaryota; Viridiplantae; Streptophyta; Magnoliopsida; Malpighiales; Euphorbiaceae. The record is from RNAcentral.
AAUGUCUCGACAUUUACUUCCUUAAUUUUAUUCAUCGCGUCAUAUAAUUUCCUCCUUUGGUUAUGAUUGGCUGUUACGGUAAAAAUAUAUUAUUCAGUAUGAAUAGGUUAUGUAAAUUAAAAUUUUAAAUUUAAAAUAAGUAAUUGCAAUUAAAGUUUUACCAACCUUUUGCAAACAUUCCUUCAUUGUUGCAUUCUUGAAUUUUGUAUUG